GAUGAACGCUGGCGGCGUGCCUAAUACAUGCAAGUCGAGCGAACAGACGAGGAGCUUGCUCCUCUGACGUUAGCGGCGGACGGGUGAGUACCACGUGGAUAACCUACCUAUAAGACUGGGAUAACUUCGGGAAACCGGAGCUAAUACCGGAUAAUAUAUUGAACCGCAUGGUUCAAUAGUGAAAGACGGUUUUGCUGUCACUUAUAGAUGGAUCCGCGCCGCAUUAGCUAGUUGGUAAGGUAACGGCUUACCAAGGCAACGAUGCGUAGCCGACCUGAGAGGGUGAUCGGCCACACUGGAACUGAGACACGGUCCAGACUCCUACGGGAGGCAGCAGUAGGGAAUCUUCCGCAAUGGGCGAAAGCCUGACGGAGCAACGCCGCGUGAGUGAUGAAGGUCUUCGGAUCGUAAAACUCUGUUAUUAGGGAAGAACAAAUGUGUAAGUAACUAUACACGUCUUGACGGUACCUAAUCAGAAAGCCACGGCUAACUACGUG
Molecule: ribosomal RNA, 497 nt
Filed under: uncultured bacterium
Lineage: Bacteria
Description: partial 16S ribosomal RNA
Rfam family: Bacterial small subunit ribosomal RNA
Source: RNAcentral